Molecule: ribosomal RNA, 494 nt
Filed under: uncultured bacterium
Lineage: Bacteria
Description: partial 16S ribosomal RNA
Rfam family: Bacterial small subunit ribosomal RNA
Source: RNAcentral
GACGAACGCUGGCGGCGUGCCUAAUACAUGCAAGUCGAACGGUUUAGUUCCAAGAGGCUUGCCUUUUGGAACUAGACAGUGGCGGACGGGUGAGUAACACGUAGGCCACCUACCUGUCAAACCGGGAUAACCUCGGGAAACCGAAGCUAAACCCGGUUAAGCUCCUUUUUCGCAUGAAGGGGGAGUGACCAGGUGCGACCUGAUGACAGAUGGGCCUGCGGGGCAUUAGCUUGUUGGUAGGGUAACGGCCUACCUAGUAGUGGAUGCGUAACCGUCCGCAGGGGGCGCACGGCCAGAGGGGGACCGAGAAAAGGCCGAGUCAGAUACGGCAGGGAGCCGUAGGGAAGCUAGGGGUAGGGGCGAAAGCAUGACCGAGCGAAGCCGGGUGAAGGAGGAAGGCGUGCGGGGUGUAAAACUCUGGUGUUUGGGAAGAAGGGGAAGGGUAGGAACCGUUGGUGACGGUACCAAACGAGAAAGCCCCGGCUAACUACGUG